RNAcentral lists this ribosomal RNA (301 nucleotides) under uncultured bacterium. RNAcentral describes it as "partial 16S ribosomal RNA". It matches the Rfam family "Bacterial small subunit ribosomal RNA", at positions 509 to 807 of the family's 1533-position model. The record is from RNAcentral.
CAGCCGCCGCGGUAAUACGGAGGGCGCGAGCGUUACCCGGAUUUACUGGGCGUAAAGGGCGUGUAGGCGGCCUGGGGCGUCCCAUGUGAAAGGCCACGGCUCAACCGUGGAGGAGCGUGGGAUACGCUCAGGCUAGAGGGUGGGAGAGGGUGGUGGAAUUCCCGGAGUAGCGGUGAAAUGCGCAGAUACCGGGAGGAACGCCGAUGGCGAAGGCAGCCACCAGGUCCACUUCUGAUGCUGAGGCGCGAAAGCGUGGGGAGCAAACAGGAUUAGAUACCCCCGUAGUCCCUGUCUCUUAUAC